GGAGGGGGCAAGCGUUGUUCGGAAUUACUGGGCGUAAAGGGCGCGUAGGCGGUAUGCCAUGUCAGGGGUGAAAGGCCUGGGCUCAACCCAGGAACUGCCUUUGAAACUGGCAAACUAGAGUCCGAUAGAGGAUGGCGGAAUUCCCAGUGUAGAGGUGAAAUUCGUAGAUAUUGGGAAGAACACCAGUGGCGAAGGCGGCCAUCUGGAUCGGCACUGACGCUGAGGCGCGAAAGCGUGGGGAGCAAACAGGGAUUAGAUACCCUGGUAGUCCACGCCGUAAACGAUGUGUGCUAGACGUUGGGGGGUCUUAGGCCCCUGGGUGUCGUAGCUAACGCGUUAAGCACACCGCCUGGGGGAGUACGGCCGCAAGGUUA
This 374-nucleotide ribosomal RNA is filed under the name uncultured organism. RNAcentral describes it as "partial 16S ribosomal RNA". It matches the Rfam family "Bacterial small subunit ribosomal RNA", at positions 527 to 896 of the family's 1533-position model. The record is from RNAcentral.